AACGUAGGAGCCAAGCGUUAUCCGAAUUCACUGGGCGUAAAGCGCGUGCAGGCGGCCUGGUAAGUUGGAUGUGAAAUCUCCCGGCUCAACUGGGAGAGGUCGUUCAAGACUGUCAGGCUCGAGGGCGACAGAGGGAGGUGGAAUUCCGGGUGUAGUGGUGAAAUGCGUAGAUAUCCGGAGGAACACCAGAGGCGAAGGCGACCUCCUGGGUCGCACCUGACGCUGAGAUGCGAAAGCUAGGGGAGCGAACGGG
This 253-nucleotide ribosomal RNA is filed under the name uncultured bacterium. Its description in RNAcentral is "partial 16S ribosomal RNA". It matches the Rfam family "Bacterial small subunit ribosomal RNA", at positions 524 to 776 of the family's 1533-position model. The record is from RNAcentral.